GUUUUUUUGGAAACAUCCGAUAAAAUUGGCAGAUACAUAAUAGAUUAGCAUGAUCCAUAUGUAAGUAUGAUACGAAGAAAUUAGAAAUAGUCAAAGUUUUU
Molecule: small nuclear RNA, 101 nt
Organism: Brassica oleracea var. oleracea
Lineage: Eukaryota; Viridiplantae; Streptophyta; Magnoliopsida; Brassicales; Brassicaceae
Source: Rfam